Ictalurus punctatus (channel catfish) is the source of this 840-nucleotide long non-coding RNA. RefSeq lists it as uncharacterized. NCBI's taxonomy places the organism in Eukaryota, Metazoa, Chordata, Actinopteri, Siluriformes, Ictaluridae. The transcript is spliced from 3 exons. The record is from RefSeq and is a predicted model, not a curated record.
GUCUCUUUUGCCUUACUGGGGUCAGCAGGGCCCAUCAUUGUCCUCCACUCCUCUACCGCAUUCUCUUUAGACAGAAUCAGCAUUGUACAUGGACCACUGGUGGAAACGGAUAACAGCUCUGAGUCUUCUCCUAUAAUGCCUGAUGAGGUUGGAGAAUACGUGACAUGGGAUCUGAGACUGUUCCUCCAUACAGAAUCUCUCCAGAUCCUUCAAAUUUCAAGGUCCACGCUGGUGGACUCUCCUCUUCAGUUCACCCCACAGGUUUUCUAUGGGUUCAGGUCAGGGGACUGGGAUGGCCAUCGCAGGACCUUGAUUUUGUGGUCAGUAAACCAUUUUUGUGUUGAUUUUGAUGUAUGUUUUGGAUCAUUGUCCAGCUGGAAGAUCCAUCCACGGCCCAUUUUAAGCUUUCUGGCAGAGGCAGUCAGGUUUUCAGAUAGAAAUAUAAUAUGUACAGAAGUAAAAGUCCAUGGCAAACACUUUUACCUUGCUAUAAUCAGAGGAAAGUAGAAUUUGUGAGAGAGUGUAUAUGGUCUCACCGACACAUGUAGUCCACUAACUGGUUGAAGAAUGGCUUGUCUGUGAGCUGUUUGUAGAAUUCCUCAGCCAUCUCCCUGGACAAAACCAUCUCCUUCUGCUCAGAGAUGGUGAAUCCUGCAGCUCGGACCUCCACCAAGAUCUCCUCUGUGGAACAGACAUGCAACUACGAUUGAAGAUUUAUCUAGAGGAUGGUCAGUAGAGCAAAAAUGAGGUUGUAUUUCCAUGCAAGCAGACGCGUUUCUGGCACAUGCCUCUGUUUUCUCUGGCUGCGUCAGGCCGAACGAGUGCCAGCGUCCUCUCCAC